CUACGUGCCAGCAGCCGCGGUAAUACGUAGGGUGCGAGCGUUAAUCGGAAUUACUGGGCGUAAAGCGAGCGCAGACGGUUACUUAAGCAGGAUGUGAAAUCCCCGGGCUCAACCUGGGAACUGCAUUCGAAACUGGCAGGCUGGAGUCUUGUAGAGGGGGGUAGAAUUCCAGGUGUAGCGGUGAAAUGCGUAGAGAUCUGGAGGAAUACCGGUGGCGAAGGCAGCCUCCUGGGAUAACACUGACGUUCAUGCCCGAAAGCGUGGGUAGCAAACAGGAUUAGAUACCCUGGUAGUCCACGCCCUAAACGAUGUCGAUUAGCUGUUGGGCAGCAUGACUGCUUAGUAGCGAAGCUAACGCGUGAAAUCGACCGCCUGGGGAGUACGGUCGCAAGAUUAAAACUCAAAGGAAUUGACGGGGACCCGCACAAGCGGUGGAUGAUGUGGAUUAAUUCGAUGCAACGCGAAGAACCUUACCKGUCUUGACAU
RNAcentral lists this ribosomal RNA (486 nucleotides) under uncultured bacterium. RNAcentral describes it as "bacterial SSU rRNA". It matches the Rfam family "Bacterial small subunit ribosomal RNA", at positions 501 to 987 of the family's 1533-position model. The record is from RNAcentral.